GGGCCAGACUCCUACGGGAGGCAGCAGUGGGGAAUAUUGCACAAUGGGGGAAACCCUGAUGCAGCGACGCCGCGUGAGUGAAGAAGUAUUUCGGUAUGUAAAGCUCUAUCAGCAGGGAAGAAAAUGACGGUACCUGACUAAGAAGCCCCGGCUAACUACGUGCCAGCAGUCGCGGUAAUACGUAGGGGGCAAGCGUUAUCCGGAUUUACUGGGUGUAAAGGGAGCGUAGACGGCAUGGCAAGUCAGAUGUGAAAACCCGGGGCUCAACCCCGGGACUGCAUUUGAAACUGUCAGGCUGGAGUGCAGGAGAGGUAAGUGGAAUUCCUAGUGUAGCGGUGAAAUGCGUAGAUAUUAGGAGGAACACCAGUGGCGAAGGCGGCUUACUGGACUGUAACUGACGUUGAGGCUCGAAAGCGUGGGGAGCAAACAGGAUUAGAUCCCCGAGUA
This 447-nucleotide ribosomal RNA is filed under the name uncultured bacterium. Its description in RNAcentral is "bacterial SSU rRNA". It matches the Rfam family "Bacterial small subunit ribosomal RNA", at positions 328 to 792 of the family's 1533-position model. The record is from RNAcentral.